Astatotilapia calliptera (eastern happy) is the source of this 1209-nucleotide long non-coding RNA. The record is from Ensembl. NCBI's taxonomy places the organism in Eukaryota, Metazoa, Chordata, Actinopteri, Cichliformes, Cichlidae.
AAACUUUCUUCCCCAGGCUCUGGCAUGUUUGAUUCGGCUCGAGUCUGAAUCAUUGAGAAAAAGUUAUUGAGCAACAAGAUCUAACCUGCAGAAGCAUCGUUAAUGGCGGCCUUCCUGGCUGCCUUACCCUUAGAUGCUUUAUCUUUGAAGCCUAAAGCGACCAAUUAAGUGAGAUAAACGUUAUCAUGAUUUUGUGACGAUUGUCGUAGUCAGUCACAGUUAUUGCUGCGUCUUUUAUUGAUAUGUGAGGAUUCAUCAUGAAACACGUUUGUUUUUAAACCAUAUCUCCUGUGUUUCCCUCCCUGUUGUCUGUAUGAGCUUUGUGUCGCUCGUUGUUCUUAUUUACUGUUUAUUUUGUUUGCUACGUGCUCGUGUGUCUCAGUUGGUUCUGCUUCCUGUAAACUCGCCUGUGACUUGUUAGCCAAUCAUAGUUCUGCACCUCCCUGUCAGUCUCCUCGUGUCUCUGUUUUGCCCCUUGUGAUUUUUCUUCCUGCUGCUUUGCUACAACUUUGCUGUACUUUCUAAAACUUUUGCUUUUAUGCUGCUUGUAUUUUCUGGACUCUUUCCUUUUCCUGUUUUGUCUUGAUCUCAAAUCUACUUGUCAGCUGUUUUUUUUUUUUUCCACUUUUUUCUCACGAAAGUAUUAGCAGAUGUUGCCUCAUCUUAAUAUCAUAGUAUUUCUUUUAAAAUUGAUUUAGGCUUGUGCGGCGUUUGUGGAGGACUGUGAUUGCCAUCUUGUGGUGUUUUCAUUUUUCCAUGUUACCUGCUGAGCAACAAAAAAAACCUUUAGAUUUGACAGUCACGCUUUUCUCUUUCUAAAAGAAAUGUCUUUUCUUUUUUGUCUUUAAAUAAACUUUAGUUACCAACCCUGAAUCUAAAAGUGUGCCGACUCUCUCUUGAGACAGUUUCUCUGCUUGUAGUGAUUGCAGCCUGAAGUCUUAGUUUACCAGUCAGUCUGCUGGAUUAUUUGGCUUCAGGCUCUCAGGCUGGUGUGUAUUAACGGGAUAACCUGCUGAACAUCUUCUCUAUUUCUCAGAAUAAAUGUGAGACCUCGGCGAGUUUAAAACUGUAGAAAAAAAUAGAAAAGCAGAAGAUAUUUUUAAAAAUCUUAACCUGUAAUGUAAAUAAAACUCUUUAUCUUUUUAUUUCUGUGCAGACGAGUGCUGAUAUUCUGACCUUGCCUCUGAGCACAUUGCACAAAAGUUGUGA